This 217-nucleotide long non-coding RNA is filed under the name Pan troglodytes (chimpanzee). RNAcentral's name for it is "long non-coding RNA NONPTRT011460". Lineage: Eukaryota; Metazoa; Chordata; Mammalia; Primates; Hominidae. The record is from RNAcentral.
UUUAUUAUCUUCCCUUGACUGACAUUCUUUGUUUCUGGGUACACAUUGAAGAUGUUGAAUACCCCUCUAUACCCAGGUUCACAUGUUCUCACUUCCAGCAAUCAGGAGGACUGACUAGCAGUUCUGAUUUCAAAAAUGACAAGUAUAUUACUGGUUUACCUUGAGUCAAGUAUCAACCCUGGUUCAAUAAAUGGUGACCAUGGGGACUAGGUCACAA